This 264-nucleotide unclassified non-coding RNA is filed under the name Melitaea cinxia (Glanville fritillary). RNAcentral's name for it is "misc RNA ENSMCXG00005022934.1". The stretch from base 1 to 174 matches the Rfam family "U2 spliceosomal RNA". From Rfam's summary of the family: U2 is a small nuclear RNA (snRNA) component of the spliceosome (involved in pre-mRNA splicing). Lineage: Eukaryota; Metazoa; Arthropoda; Insecta; Lepidoptera; Nymphalidae. The record is from RNAcentral.
CCUACUUCUCAGCCUACAGGCUAAAAUCAAAGUGUGGCAGCUGUCGUUUUCAGCUUAAUAUCUGAAAGCUCCCGCACUGCGGGACCAGUAGCUAGUCACUUCAGCAUACCGCAGUAUACUGCCGGACAUAGGCCAGACAUUAUAGCACGAACUCGUGUGUUUUGUGUACUUUGGGUACUAGGUAUAUUAAACUGAUUUUUGGAAAACAAUGGGAAGUUAGGGGCUCGCUCCACUUCCGUCACGGGUCGGACCGGCAUUUUUUUU